GAUGAACGCUGGCGGCGUGCCUAAUACAUGCAAGUCGAGCGAACAGAUGAGGAGCUUGCUCCUCUGACGUUAGCGGCGGACGGGUGAGUAACACGUGGAUAACCUACCUAUAAGACUGGGAUAACUUCGGGAAACCGGAGCUAAUACCGGAUAAUAUAUUGAACCGCAUGGUUCAAUAGUGAAAGACGGUUUUGCUGUCACUUAUAGAUGGAUCCGCGCCGCAUUAGCUAGUUGGUAAGGUAACGGCUUACCAAGGCAACGAUGCGUAGCCGACCUGAGAGGGUGAUCGGCCACACUAGAACUGAGACACGGUCCAGACUCCUACGGGAGGCAGCAGUAGGGAAUCUUCCGCAAUGGGCGAAAGCCUGACGCAGCAACGCCGCGUGAGUGAUGAAGGUCUUCGGAUCGUAAAACUCUGUUAUUAGGGAAGAACAAAUGUGUAAGUAACUAUGCACGUCUUGACGGUACCUAAUCAGAAAGCCACGGCUAACUACGUG
RNAcentral lists this ribosomal RNA (497 nucleotides) under uncultured bacterium. RNAcentral's name for it is "partial 16S ribosomal RNA". It matches the Rfam family "Bacterial small subunit ribosomal RNA", at positions 28 to 507 of the family's 1533-position model. The record is from RNAcentral.